UUACGGCUCAGUAACACGUGGCUAACCUGCCCUUGGGAUAGGAACAACCCCGGGAAACUGGGGCUAAUUCCCAAUAGGUGAAGAACUCUGGAAUGAGUCUCCGCCCAAAAGACGCUUGCGCCAUGCUUGUAGGCGCCGCCCAAGGAUGGGGCCGCGACCGAUCAGGUUGUUGGUGAGGUAACGGCCCACCAAGCCUUUUACCGGUACGGGCCGCGGGAGCGGGAGCCCGGAGAUGGGCACUGAGACAAGGGCCCAGGCCCUACGGGGCGCAGCAGUCGCGCAAACUUUGCAAUACACGAAAGUGUGACAGGGCUAUCCCGAGUGCCGCCCGCUGAGGGUGGCUUUUGCCCAGUAUAGCAAGCUGGGAGAAUAAGGAGAGGGCAAGUCUGGUGUCAGCCGCCGCGGUAAUACCAGCUCUCCGAGUGGUGUGGAUGUUUAUUGGGUCUAAAGCAUCCGUAGCUUGCUGAGUGAGUCCCCUGUUAAAUCCAGCGAAUUAACUGUUGGUGUGCGGGGAUACUGCUCAGCUAGGGGACGAGAGAGGCAGACGGUAUUUUCGGGGUAGGGGUGAAAUCCUAUAAUCCCGAGAAGACCACCAGUGGCGAAGGCUGUCUGCUAGAACGCGCCCGACGGUGAGGGAUGAAAGCUGGGGGAGCGAACCGGAUUAGAUACCCGGGUAGUCCCAGCUGUAAACUAUGCAGGCUAGGUGUUUGGGCGGCCACGUGCCGCUCUAGUGCC
This 735-nucleotide ribosomal RNA is filed under the name uncultured crenarchaeote. Its description in RNAcentral is "bacterial SSU rRNA". It matches the Rfam family "Archaeal small subunit ribosomal RNA", at positions 83 to 802 of the family's 1478-position model. Lineage: Archaea; Thermoproteati; Thermoproteota. The record is from RNAcentral.